GCCUAGGGACGCAGCAGUGGGGAAUUUUGGACAAUGGGCGCAAGCCUGAUCCAGCAAUGCCGCGUGAGUGAAGAAGGCCUUCGGGUUGUAAAGCUCUUUUGUCAGGGAAGAAACGGUGGGAGCUAAUAUCUCUUGCUAAUGACGGUACCUGAAGAAUAAGCACCGGCUAACUACGUGCCAGCAGCCGCGGUAAUACGUAGGGUGCAAGCGUUAAUCGGAAUUACUGGGCGUAAAGCGUGCGCAGGCGGUUUUGUAAGUCUGUCGUGAAAUCCCCGGGCUCAACCUGGGAAUUGCGAUGGAGACUGCAAGGCUAGAAUCUGGCAGAGGGGAGUAGAAUUCCACGUGUAGCAGUGAAAUGCGUAGAUAUGUGGAGGAACACCGAUGGCGAAGGCAGCCCCCUGGGCUAAGAUUGACGCUCAUGCACGAAAGCGUGGGGAGCAAACAGGAUUAGAUACCCUAGUAGUCCU
This 467-nucleotide ribosomal RNA is filed under the name uncultured bacterium. Its description in RNAcentral is "bacterial SSU rRNA". It matches the Rfam family "Bacterial small subunit ribosomal RNA", at positions 337 to 797 of the family's 1533-position model. The record is from RNAcentral.